This 253-nucleotide ribosomal RNA is filed under the name uncultured bacterium. RNAcentral's name for it is "partial 16S ribosomal RNA". It matches the Rfam family "Bacterial small subunit ribosomal RNA", at positions 524 to 776 of the family's 1533-position model. The record is from RNAcentral.
GACGAACCUGACAAACGUUAUUCGGAAUUACUGGGCUUAAAGGGUGCGUAGGCGGUGCGGUAAGUCAGGUGUGAAAUCCCUCGGCUCAACCGAGGAAUAGCGCUUGAGACUGCCGUGCUUGAGGGAGAUAGAGGUGAGCGGAACCUAGGGUGGAGCGGUGAAAUGCGUUGAUAUCCUAGGGAACACCAGUGGCGAAAGCGGCUCACUGGGUCUCUUCUGACGCUGAGGCACGAAAGCUAGGGGAGCGAACGGG